RNAcentral lists this ribosomal RNA (717 nucleotides) under uncultured bacterium. RNAcentral's name for it is "bacterial SSU rRNA". It matches the Rfam family "Bacterial small subunit ribosomal RNA", at positions 49 to 761 of the family's 1533-position model. The record is from RNAcentral.
UUACACAUGCAAGUCGAACGGCAGCGCGGGGCAACCUGGCGGCGAGUGGCGAACGGGUGAGUAAUAUAUCGGAACGUGCCCUGGAGUGGGGGAUAACGCAGCGAAAGUUGCGCUAAUACCGCAUACGAUCUAAGGAUGAAAGCGGGGGAUUCGCAAGAACCUCGUGCUCCUGGAGCGGCCGAUAUCUGAUUAGCUAGUUGGUGGGGUAAAGGCCUACCAAGGCAUCGAUCAGUAGCUGGUCUGAGAGGACGACCAGCCACACUGGAACUGAGACACGGUCCAGACUCCUACGGGAGGCAGCAGUGGGGAAUUUUGGACAAUGGGCGAAAGCCUGAUCCAGCAAUGCCGCGUGAGUGAAGAAGGCCUUCGGGUUGUAAAGCUCUUUUGUCAGGGAAGAAACGGUGAAGGCUAAUAUCCUUUGCUAAUGACGGUACCUGAAGAAUAAGCACCGGCUAACUACGUGCCAGCAGCCGCGGUAAUACGUAGGGUGCAAGCGUUAAUCGGAAUUACUGGGCGUAAAGCGUGCGCAGGCGGUUUUGUAAGUCUGUCGUGAAAUCCCCGGGCUCAACCUGGGAAUUGCGAUGGAGACUGCAAGGCUAGAAUCUGGCAGAGGGGGGUAGAAUUCCACGUGUAGCAGUGAAAUGCGUAGAGAUGUGGAGGAACACCGAUGGCGAAGGCAGCCCCCUGGGUCAAGAUUGACGCUCAUGCACGAAAGCG